AAUCCAUAAGUGAGCAGACUACACAAAAAUGUUUGUCAUGUAGCUAACGCCUAACAAUGCUUGAAUUUCUGCAGCUUCAAAGUUCAAACAAUAGCUUAAUCCAUAAGUGAGUAGAUCCCUGUAAAAAAUAUGCAUAUACCAAAUUUCAGCAUUAGGCAACGAAGUAGAGACUGUGAUAAAUACUACUGUUAACUAGUAUGCAUACACCUAAAGCCCAUUAACAACUCCGAAUUUUUUUUUUAAAAAACUAAUCUCAAUUAACUAAUAUUUAAUAAGACUCCAACGGUCUAAACUUAAUUGAAAUGGGCAGCCAUCCCUUUGGUUCGUUAACAAAAUCAUAUAUAAGUCUAAUGAGCAAUUUAUUAAGAAAAACAAUCACAUAAAUGGAGAUGGAACAUCAGAAACAAAUUCAUUCAUGAUUUCAGCCAUUUUUAUGGAGAAAUAGUACAGAUUCAGGAAUGUGUACCUAAAAUACUUGACAAAUAGAGUUUGAAACAGCUGAUAAAGGACAGAAAUGGAGAUGAAGGAAGCUCAGCUACGAUUUUGAUAGCAAACAGCAGAAGAAUAGCAAUGUCGACCUCAACUUCAAUCCAAAAACAAAUGAGAAACCCAUAAAUUCUCCAAGUAACACAACAGAAAUUAGAAAACCUUUCCAAGUCUUCAUCAAAGCUCACACGCUAAGUUUGGAACCCUUACCCUUUCCUGCGAAAACCAAAGCAUCAAAGACAUCGGCCACCUAGUAAAAAACCGACAGUCGAUGAAGAAAAAUGCUUCAAUUAUGGACAUCCCAGUGGGGCGACGGGCGCGGGAGGAAGAAACCUAAGAGAAGACGUCAGGGAAGGCUAAGACGGCGCCUCGCAUAUGGGUAGCAAGAGGGCGCUUAUGCCCCGACGGUGGGGCCGCUAUUAAAAAAGUGAUGUGAUUCCCGGGUGGGGAUCACGAACGAGAUAUAGCACUAGACCUAAAGGAAGUCCUCUAACUAAUCUAAUCCACCGAAGGUUUUCGUUUUUCUUCUUCAGAUCAUGAUCUAGAAAAAUGA
This 1039-nucleotide long non-coding RNA is filed under the name Nicotiana tabacum (common tobacco). Its description in RNAcentral is "long non-coding RNA (NTAB_LNC002088)". Lineage: Eukaryota; Viridiplantae; Streptophyta; Magnoliopsida; Solanales; Solanaceae. The record is from RNAcentral.